Molecule: long non-coding RNA, 1403 nt
Organism: Mustela lutreola (European mink)
Lineage: Eukaryota; Metazoa; Chordata; Mammalia; Carnivora; Mustelidae
Exons: 4
Source: RefSeq, a predicted model, not a curated record
CCAUAAGGGAAGGCGCCUGCGUAAGCGCUUGGAGGACAGCUUCUCAGGACGAUUGCUUGCUGAGGAACCCUGGACUGAACACUUGCACGGAGAAAUGAAUUUAUACUGAAGAUUGGAGAUCAUCACUACUGGUUCUCUGCUGCUCCUGGUUAAUUACUUAAUGCUUCCUAAUCACUUGCUAAAGAACCUAGCAGCCGGAUAGUUUAAAGAAUAGCAGAAGAUUGCAUCUCAGAGGUACGGGUGUAAGACUUGACGGGCAGCCGUUUCCUGUUAGCGUCUUGAAAAUAUCACACUGCUGCUCUCUGGCUACUGCUCUGGCUGCUCAGAAAUCAAGUCAAGGUCCAAGCUACACUUGCUACAAAGCUGAGGAAAUGAAAGCCAGCCUGCCUAGAGCCCCCUGGACUGUUCUCUUGCUUUGCCUGUGCCCUGAUGACUGGACACAGGCUUGGAUUCUGCCAAGAAUGAACCAUAAACCCUCUUCCUUAAGCCACAGAAGGAAAUAUGGGACCAGCAGCAUGGGGGUGGGGGCUGUCUUCCCACCCAGACAGAAGGAAACAGAAAUGAAUCUCUCCUUUCUACUAUCUACAGGGUGGAUGUCAAGAAAUUCAUUUUAUCUCAAAUAGGAAGUCUCCCUUCCUUUUUUGAAAAUAGGUCCUAUUCUAGAUAGAAACCUCUCAGAUUUGCUUGUUCAUAUUCUAUUAAUAGUUAUACAGAAUUCAUAAAUAUAUUACUGCUAUUUUGCCCAUCUGACGGAUGGAAUAUUGACAGGAUGUGAUUUAUGUGCUCGGAAUGGCACAGCUGGAGGAUUCUUUGGCUGUAAUUACUUAGGGUUUUAUUGCUCUCUGUGCAAAUGGAAAGUGUGCAAAUGUUAAAGCGCCAAUUGUUCCCAAUUACUUGAAAUAUUGUCUGUAAAUAUCUAACCCCUUUCUGCAUUAUUAGCCAAAUUGAAUGGAAAAUUAUCAGGUUAGUGUACAGUAUCUUAAAGUGAACAACUGGGUCUUUAAAAUUGCUCAGUAAUUAAGUGGUUGAAACAGGAUCAUCAGAAAUGAUAUCUGAAUUCAGUUAGGAUGGUAUGUGCCACAUCUCUGAUGCCCAGCAGAAUGUUAAAUACCAAAAUAAAUAGAUGAGGAGCCACAUAGGAAAUACAAAUGACUUUUUAUGAAUAACAGCUUAUUGUCAUAACAAGGUAUGCAAAGUGUACUUGACAGAUACAAAUAGCAAAAGAAAAAGCUCAAAGCAAAACUCUUUUUUACCAACUUUCUCUCUUGACCAAACCAAACAAAACAAAACAAAAAAACCUAGGAAAAAGAAAAUUUACAAAUAAAACAAAAUUAGAAGUUUUCUCUACCUACUAGUCUGUGCCCUUCCAAUGGACCUCCCCCACCAAAAAAAAUUAAUGUGCA